GGCUCAGAUUGAACGCUGGCGGCAGGCCUAACACAUGCAAGUCGAGCGGUAGAGAGGUGCUUGCACCUCUUGAGAGCGGCGGACGGGUGAGUAAUGCCUAGGAAUCUGCCUGGUAGUGGGGGAUAACGCUCGGAAACGGACGCUAAUACCGCAUACGUCCUACGGGAGAAAGCAGGGGACCUUCGGGCCUUGCGCUAUCAGAUGAGCCUAGGUCGGAUUAGCUAGUUGGUGGGGUAAUGGCUCACCAAGGCGACGAUCCGUAACUGGUCUGAGAGGAUGAUCAGUCACACUGGAACUGAGACACGGUCCAGACUCCUACGGGAGGCAGCAGUGGGGAAUAUUGGACAAUGGGCGAAAGCCUGAUCCAGCCAUGCCGCGUGUGUGAAGAAGGUCUUCGGAUUGUAAAGCACUUUAAGUUGGGAGGAAGGGCAUUAACCUAAUACGUUAGUGUUUU
RNAcentral lists this ribosomal RNA (454 nucleotides) under Pseudomonas sp. R-45757. Its description in RNAcentral is "bacterial SSU rRNA". It matches the Rfam family "Bacterial small subunit ribosomal RNA", at positions 21 to 473 of the family's 1533-position model. Lineage: Bacteria; Pseudomonadati; Pseudomonadota; Gammaproteobacteria; Pseudomonadales; Pseudomonadaceae. The record is from RNAcentral.